RNAcentral lists this long non-coding RNA (829 nucleotides) under Triticum aestivum (bread wheat). RNAcentral's name for it is "long non-coding RNA (TAES_LNC024103)". Lineage: Eukaryota; Viridiplantae; Streptophyta; Magnoliopsida; Poales; Poaceae. The record is from RNAcentral.
GCCAGCACACUACCAACAAAAUCAAAGUCGUCUGAUUCAACUACACGAAGUAGCGCCGCCGGACGAAAUCUCACCAAGCAACCUUCUGAGUGGCCUCUCAGCUGAAUCAUCAAGGUUCACAACUUCUAUUCUAGAUCCAAUCUAUCUUCCGAGUGGCCUAUCAUCUGGAUCAUCAAGGUUUGUAAUUGCUAUUCUGGAUGCAAUCCCUCUCAUCUGGAUCAUCAAGGUUUGUCAUUGCUAUUCUGGAUACAAUCUUCAUAGGUACAAUAGUACUUCUGUAUGAUCCUUUUGCAGCAAGGGCAUACAAUAAUCUUUGCGAGUUCACAAGAUAAGGAGAUUGACAUUAAAGUACAAGUAACGAGAAUAUGAUCAAUCAAUUUUACAAGUAAUUGGCUUAGGAGCCUCAGUAUGAUGAUUCAUGGAUGAAAAGGUUUAGUCAUUACGUAUUUACUUGCAGGUUGUUCUUUUUUUAUAUACAACAACUAAGUAUAUUUUGCCGAUAUGAUAUUCAUGGAUGAUAAGGUUUUUUCAUUGCAUAUUUAUUACUUGCAUUUUUUUCUAUUUUCUAUACAAUAACUACUAACUAUAUUUUGAUUGUUCUGACAGGGCCAAACAAUUCAUGCUACUGUCGGGAAGUUGAUAGAAUCAAUCUAUGUAUUUAGCAAUUUUAAGUUUGCGGAUUCCACAAAGUAUUACCAACUGAGUAGUGAAAUAUCAUUAUUUUUGCAUACAAUACAAAAGUAAAGGAGGUGAAAGGAUCAUCUAAAGGUUACCCAGAUUACUACUUCGAGUUUGCUACAGAGGAAAUAUUAGAAGAACACAUGCAGAG